CGGGACGUUGUAAAGAAUUGUGGGAUAUGUUUAGUCCCUUUAGUAUUUUUUUUUCUGUCUACUUGUUUGUUUUUCGGUAUCAGUGUUUUUCCUUUUUCAGUUUUUCAGUGAGCCAGUUAAACAUUGGGAGCUUAAAUAUUAAUGGUGCAGAACCUCCCCUAAAAGGGCUCCCGUUAUUGAACUUAUUAAAAAUAAACCAUGAGCUAGAUGUUACCUUUCUGCAAGAAACCCAUAUAGAUAAGGCAAAUCAGUCAAAUUGGGAAAACACUGGAAAAGUGAUAUUUAUUUUAGUAACUGCGCACAUUUCAGUGUAGGGGUGGCUGUCUUAUUUUGGGGAAAGUGCAAGAAUGAUUUUGUAAAGGGGUGUUUGCUUAAGAAGGGUAGGCUGUGAACUGUCACUUCCAUUAGGACAUUGAUUUAACAUCUCAGCCGCAGGAUGGAGCACAAGGAGGUUAAGUGACUUCCUCAGGGUCACACAGUGAGUCAGUGGCUGAGCUGGGGUUUGAACCAAGAACCUCCUGGCUACAAGCCUCUUUCUCUACCACUAGACCACCAAGCCUCAUAAGCCACCAUUGCCAAAAAGGUCAGGGGAUCUACAUUGGAGGAUCCUACAUACUAUCAUUGCUGUAAAUUCCUUUUUCACAUAAUGGCUGAAGCAAUCACUUCCGUGUCUGAGGAGCAGUUCAGCUGCUCCGUGUGUCUGGAGAUUUUUAAGGAUCCGGUCACCCUCCCCUGUGGACACAGUUACUGCAUGGAGUGCAUUGAUUACCACUGGAAACAACCUGAGCAGAGAGGCGCCAUCAGCUGCCCCCAGUGCCGACACAACUUCUCUCCUAAACCCGUCUUGAGAAAGAACUUUGUCUUGGCUGAUGUUGUGGAGAGACUGAAGCAGACGGGACUCAGCCCCUCUCUCUCCGCUCACAGUCUCACUGGGACUGGACACGUGCCCUGUGACUUCUGCACUGGGAGAAAACUGGGAGCGGUGAGAUCCUGUCUGACUUGCAGCGCCUCCUACUGCCCAGAGCACCUCAAACCUCACUUCACGGUCUUGUCUUUCAAGAGGCACCAGCUGGUGGAGGCCACUGGAGAUCUGAUUCAGACUCUGUGCCAGCAGCACCACAGACCUCUGGAGGUGUUCUGUAGGACGGACUGGAGCUUUGUGUGUCUGCUGUGUGCAGCCACCAAACACAGGAGCCACUGUACAGUCACCCCUGAGGAAGAGAGAGCCAGCACACAGGCGGUGGAGCUGCACUCUUGUGUGUGGUGGAAGGAGGGCGUUCAGCUGGCGAAGCAGGCGUACGACACGCUCAAGGCCUGGAUCCCCAAGCGAGAGGCCUCUGCCAGCCAGCUUCGGUACAUCGCCCAGCAGCUGGAAAGGAUGAGACGAGAAGCCAACUACAGCCGCAAAGUGAGGGGUCUGGCCGCUGUGGGGGCCUUUGUUUCGGCGUUGUGCACUGCAGGCCUGGGCGCGCCUCUGCUGGGGGCGGUGGCUGGGGGCGUGGCCGUCACGACGGCUAUGACGGCCAUAUGGGGCGUGGCGCAGAGAGUAGAGAGCUUCAAGACCAGCGACUGCAUGAAGACCGCCAGGAAGAUCACAGAGACCGACAAGGAGGCCGCCAAAAAGGUGGUCAGGCUGAUGAAGGAGCUGGACAAGAUGGUCGAAAGGAUCGCAGCCUCUCAAAGGUGUGUCGACAGCCCAGAGCCGCUCAGGAAGGAGCACGUCUUCACAAGAUUAGUCUCCGCAGGGCUGUUCGCUGGUACAACCCUUCUGACCGCGCGAAACGUGAACAAGAUGGCCUUCCUGAUGGGCAAGCUGGCAAAGAACAUGAGGGCCAUCAGCGUGCCUGGCGAGACAGCGGCCUGCGGGCCCAGGUUGGUCUUCUCGGUAGUUGGGCUGGGAUUUGACAUCACGGUCCUGGUUAGUGCUGCCCUGGAACAGGCCGCAAAACAAGGGAAUGAGGCCGCCCACAUGUUAAGACAAGCGGCGGACCAAAGUGAAGAAAGCCUGAAAGAGCUCAAGAACACCCUGGGUGAAAUUGAGUGAGGUGUGACACUGUUUGGAACACCCUGGUGAAAUUGAGUGAGGUGUGACGCUGUUUGGAACACCCUGGGUGAAAUUGAGUGAGGUGUGACGCUGUUUGGAACACCCUGGGUGAAAUUGAGUGAGGUGUGAUGCUGUUUGGAACACCCUGGGUGAAAUUGAGUGAGGUGUGACGCUGUUUGGAACACCCUGGGUGAAAUUGAGUGAGGUGUGACGCUGUUUGGAACACCCUGGGUGAAAUUGAGUGAGGUGGGACGCUGUUUGGAACACCCUGGGUGAAAUUGAGUGAGGUGUGACGCUGUUUGGAUCACCCUGGGUGAAAUUGAGUGAGGUGUGACGCUGUUUGGAACACCCUGGGUGAAAUUGAGUGAGGUGUGACGCUGUUUGGAACACCCUGGGUGAAAUUGAGUGAGGUGUGACGCUGUUUGGAACACCCUGGGUGAAAUUGAGUGAGCACCAACAGCGAUGAUGCUAAAGAGGAAUUCUCAGUCCGCUGGUUUGCAGAGAGGGUUCUCAAGCCUUUACGCUGAGAGGGGUCCGAUGGAUGGACGGAUAUCAGAAAACCAGAAAAUGGAUUCAUAUUUUAUUUUGCUUUAUUUUUUUCAAUAAAGAGGAAGAAUUUCCACCAUUGAUAUGUUGCUUAUCUUUACAUUCCAAAAAGUAAGAUUUCGAUUUUUUUUAUAAUUUGCUUCUCUCUCUUUUUCACCCCUCAUGUUUUUGGUUAGCUUCACCGGUACACAUUCAUUUGUAAAAAUGAGGUGUCUGUAUAAUUUGUAUACGAAGACCUGGACAUUGUUUUCCUUUACAAUUGAUUGAAAUAUCGCUGUGAUUAAUUAACCUGUGUAAAUGAUUAUAACAAUUGAGCAAUUGUGUGCAUUUUGGGGUAUAAGGGAGCCCAGGUUUUACCCUGUGAUGCUUCGAUACAGACCAGUGUGGUCACAUCAGCUCUUUCCUUUAUUCUAAAUAAAGUGCUUUUGUGUGCAA
This is an RNA transcript of Acipenser ruthenus (sterlet), 3025 nucleotides long. It is a transcript of the gene named E3 ubiquitin-protein ligase TRIM47-like, with no coding region annotated. The record is from RefSeq and is a predicted model, not a curated record. Lineage: Eukaryota; Metazoa; Chordata; Actinopteri; Acipenseriformes; Acipenseridae. The transcript has 5 exons.